Molecule: ribosomal RNA, 497 nt
Filed under: uncultured bacterium
Lineage: Bacteria
Description: partial 16S ribosomal RNA
Rfam family: Bacterial small subunit ribosomal RNA
Source: RNAcentral
GACGAACGCUGGCGGCGUGCCUAAUACAUGCAAGUUGAGCGCUGAAGGUUGGUACUUGUACCAACUGGAUGAGCAGCGAACGGGUGAGUAACGCGUGGGGAAUCUGCCUUUGAGCGGGGGACAACAUUUGGAAACGAAUGCUAAUACCGCAUAAAAACUUUAAACACAAGUUUUAAGUUUGAAAGAUGCAAUUGCAUCACUCAAAGAUGAUCCCGCGUUGUAUUAGCUAGUUGGUGAGGUAAAGGCUCACCAAGGCGAUGAUACAUAGCCGACCUGAGAGGGUGAUCCGCCACAUUGGGACUGAGACACGGCCCAAACUCCUACGGGAGGCAGCAGUAGGGAAUCUUCGGCAAUGGACGAAAGUCUGACCGAGCAACGCCGCGUGAGUGAAGAAGGUUGUCGGAUCGUAAAACUCUGUUGGUAGAGAAGAACGUUGGUGAGAGUGGAAAGCUCAUCAAGUGACGGUAACUACCCAGAAAGGGACGGCUAACUACGUG